UUAGUGGCGGACGGGUGAGUAACGCGUGAGCAAUCUGCCUUUAAGAGGGGGAUAACAGUCGGAAACGGCUGCUAAUACCGCAUAAAGCAUCAAAUUCGCAUGUUUUUGAUGCCAAAGGAGCAAUCCGCUUUUAGAUGAGCUCGCGUCUGAUUAGCUGGUUGGCGGGGUAACGGCCCACCAAGGCGACGAUCAGUAGCCGGACUGAGAGGUUGAACGGCCACAUUGGGACUGAGACACGGCCCAGACUCCUACGGGAGGCAGCAGUGGGGAAUAUUGCGCAAUGGGGGAAACCCUGACGCAGCAACGCCGCGUGAUUGAAGAAGGCCUUCGGGUUGUAAAGAUCUUUAAUCAGGGACGAAACAAAUGACGGUACCUGAAGAAUAAGCUCCGGCUAACUACGUGCCAGCAGCCGCGGUAAUACGUAGGGAGCAAGCGUUAUCCGGAUUUACUGGGUGUAAAGGGCGCGCAGGCGGGCCGGUAAGUUGGAAGUGAAAUCUAUGGGCUUAACCCAUAAACUGCUUUCAAA
Molecule: ribosomal RNA, 526 nt
Filed under: uncultured bacterium
Lineage: Bacteria
Description: bacterial SSU rRNA
Rfam family: Bacterial small subunit ribosomal RNA
Source: RNAcentral